GCAGACCAGGCGAUCGCGUGCUCAGGCAUGAGGAAAGUCCGGGCUCCGCAGGGCAGGGAUGACGGAUAACGUCCGCCGCAGGUAACUGUAGGGAAAGUGCAACAGAAACAUUCCGCCGAAACCACCGGGGCUGUGGAGACACAGCUGCCGUGUAAACCCCAUCCGGAGCAAGACAAAAUGGGCAUUAUGUGGUGCGGCCCGUACCCGCCCUAAGGUAUGUCGCAUGAGGCUGCAGGCAACUGCGGUCCAAGAUGGAUGAUCGUCAGAUACAGAACCCGGCUUACGGUCUGCC
RNAcentral lists this RNase P RNA (292 nucleotides) under bovine gut metagenome. Its description in RNAcentral is "Bacterial RNase P class A". It matches the Rfam family "Bacterial RNase P class A". Rfam says of the family: Ribonuclease P (RNase P) is a ubiquitous endoribonuclease, found in archaea, bacteria and eukarya as well as chloroplasts and mitochondria. Its best characterised activity is the generation of mature 5'-ends of tRNAs by cleaving the 5'-leader elements of precursor-tRNAs. The record is from RNAcentral.